AAUCAACGCUGGCGGCGUGCCUCAGACAUGCAAGUCGAACGCGAAAGGCUCCUUCGGGGGCCGAGUAGAGUGGCGCACGGGUGAGUAACACGUAGGUAAUUUGCCUUUGGGUGGGGAAUAACUCAGGGAAACUUGAGCUAAUACCGCAUAAUGCAGCGGCUCGACAUCGAGACAGUUGUUAAAGCGGGGGAUCGCAAGACCUCGCGCCUGAAGAGAAGCCUGCGGCAGAUUAGCUAGUUGGUAGGUAAUGGCCUACCAAGGCGACGAUCUGUAACCGGCCUGAGAGGGCGGUCGGUCACACUGACACUGACAUACGGGUCAGACUCCUACGGGAGGCAGCAGUCGGGAAUUUUGGGCAAUGGGCGCAAGCCUGACCCAGCAACGCCGCGUGAAGGAUGAAAUCCC
RNAcentral lists this ribosomal RNA (405 nucleotides) under uncultured bacterium. RNAcentral describes it as "bacterial SSU rRNA". It matches the Rfam family "Bacterial small subunit ribosomal RNA", at positions 32 to 417 of the family's 1533-position model. The record is from RNAcentral.